Molecule: non-coding RNA, 73 nt
Organism: Marivirga sericea
Lineage: Bacteria; Pseudomonadati; Bacteroidota; Cytophagia; Cytophagales; Marivirgaceae
Source: Rfam
GCGAGAGUAGCUCAGCUGGUAGAGCGCAACCUUGCCAAGGUUGAGGUCGCGAGUUCGAACCUCGUCUCCCGCU